This 102-nucleotide ribosomal RNA is filed under the name Crypthecodinium cohnii. Its description in RNAcentral is "partial Bacterial large subunit ribosomal RNA". Lineage: Eukaryota; Dinophyceae; Gonyaulacales; Crypthecodiniaceae. The record is from RNAcentral.
AGAGCACGACAACCAUCUGUUUUGGGUGUAAGAAAUUUGAUGAAACUCGAUUCUAGUACGAAAGGACCGGAAUGUGGAAACCACUGGCUAGUUAGUCAUUGG